UAGGGAAUCUUCGGCAAUGGACGAAAGUCUGACCGAGCAACGCCGCGUGAGUGAAGAAGGUUUUCGGAUCGUAAAACUCUGUUGUUAGAGAAGAACAAGGACGUUAGUAACUGAACGUCCCCUGACGGUAUCUAACCAGAAAGCCACGGCUAACUACGUGCCAGCAGCCGCGGUAAUACGUAGGUGGCAAGCGUUGUCCGGAUUUAUUGGGCGUAAAGCGAGCGCAGGCGGUUUCUUAAGUCUGAUGUGAAAGCCCCCGGCUCAACCGGGGAGGGUCAUUGGAAACUGGGAGACUUGAGUGCAGAAGAGGAGAGUGGAAUUCCAUGUGUAGCGGUGAAAUGCGUAGAUAUAUGGAGGAACACCAGUGACGAAGGCAGCUCUCUGGUCUGUAACUGACGCUGAGGCUCGAAAGCGUGGGGAGCAAACAGG
RNAcentral lists this ribosomal RNA (429 nucleotides) under Gemmatimonadota bacterium. Its description in RNAcentral is "Gemmatimonadetes bacterium partial 16S ribosomal RNA". It matches the Rfam family "Bacterial small subunit ribosomal RNA", at positions 355 to 776 of the family's 1533-position model. The record is from RNAcentral. Lineage: Bacteria; Pseudomonadati; Gemmatimonadota.